Perkinsus marinus ATCC 50983 is the source of this 322-nucleotide non-coding RNA. The record is from Rfam. Lineage: Eukaryota; Perkinsozoa; Perkinsida; Perkinsidae.
AAGGCCUGAUGUGUGUGAGAUUACCCGCUGAAUUUAAGCAUAUAAGUAAGCGGAGGAAAAGAAACUAACUAGGAUUCCCUUAGUAAUGGCGAAUGAACAGGGAUCAGCUCAGUGCCAAAUCGGAAUCACUUGUGGUUCUGAAAUGUGGCUUGAAGGCAGUACCAGUGGCAUCGCGGACGAAAGUCUCUUGGAAAGAGCGUCAUAGAGGGUGAGAAUCCCGUGAGUCGUUCGCCGUUUGUCACGUACGGUCUGCGUUCUAACGAGUCGCGUUCCUUGGGAUUGGAGCGUAAACGGGUGGUAAAUUUCAUCCAAAGCAAAAUAU